AUGUACAUUACAAUGAUAUAUUUUAUUUUAUGGGGACUGAAUGCUGAGUUAAGGCUCCCAGGCUUGCAAGGACUUUGGGCCCAACAAGUGUCAGGAGUCUUUGAAGCAUCCUCUGAAGCCCUCUCCUGCUGUUCAAAGACCAUUCAUUCAUUUUCUACAAGAAAUCUGCCUCCAGAAAUAAAAGCUUCUCCCAAGUGGGUGGGACACCUACCCCUGUCGUCUACUGCACUGCUGCUUGGAUUUCACCUGGUGAUCUGUUCACCAUCUGCCCUGGCCUGUCUCCCUCUGUCUGGUACAGGUACCUCCACCACACUCACCACUCUCUCCCUGGCCUGUCUCCCUCUGUCUGGUACAGGUACCUCCACCACACUCACCCCUCUCUCCCUGGCCUGUCUCCCUCUGUCUGGUACAGGUACCUCCACCACACUCACCCCUCUCUCCCUGGUCUGUCUCCCUCUGUCUGGUACAGGUACCUCCACCACACUCACCCCUCUCUCCCUGGCCUGUCUCCCUCUGUCUGGUACAGGUACCUCCACCACACUCACCCCUCUCUCCCUGGCCUGUCUCCCUCUGUCUGGUACAGGUACCCCCACCACACUCACCCCUCUCUCCCUGGCCUGUCUCCCUCUGUCUGGUACAGGUACCUCCACCACACUCACCCCUCUCUCCCUGGCCUGUCUCCCUCUGUCUGGUACAGGUACCUCCACCACACUCACCCCUCUCUCCCUGGCCUGUCUCCCCCUGUCUGGUACAGGUACCUCCACCACACUCACCACUCUCUCCCUGGCCUGUCUCCCUCUGUCUGGUACAGGUACCUCCACCACACUCACCACUCUCUCCCUGGUCUGUCUCCCCCUGACUGGUACAGGUACCUCCACCACACUCACCACUCUCUCCCUGGCCUGUCUCCCCCUGUCUGGUACAGGUACCUCCACCACACUCACCCCUCUCUCCCUGGCCUGUCUCCCUCUGUCUGGUACAGGUACCUCCACCACACUCACCCCUCUCUCCCUGGCCUGUCUCCCUCUGUCUGGUACAGGUACCUCCACCACACUCACCACUCUCUCCCUGGCCUGUCUCCCUCUGUCUGGUACAGGUACCUCCACCACACUCACCCCUCUCUCCCUGGCCUGUCUCCCUCUGUCUGGUACAGGUACCUCCACCACACUCACCCCUCUCUCCCUGGCCUGUCUCCCUCUGUCUGGUACAGGUACCUCCACCACACUCACCACUCUCUCCCUGGCCUGUCUCCCUCUGUCUGGUACAGGUACCUCCACCACACUCACCACUCUCUCCCUGGUCUGUCUCCCCCUGACUGGUACAGGUACCUCCACCACACUCACCACUCUCUCCCUGGCCUGUCUCCCCCUGUCUGGUACAGGUACCUCCACCACACUCACCCCUCUCUCCCUGGCCUGUCUCCCUCUGUCUGGUACAGGUACCUCCACCACACUCACCCCUCUCUCCCUGGCCUGUCUCCCCCUGUCUGGUACAGGUACCUCCACCACACUCACCACUCUCUCCCUCGUCUGUCUCCCCCUGUCUGGUACAGGUACCUCCACCACACUCACCACUCUCUCCCUGGCCUGUCUCCCCCUGUCUGGUACAGGUACCUCCACCACACUCACCACUCUCUCCCUGGCCUGUCUCCCUCUGUCUGGUACAGGUACCUCCACCACACUCACUCCUCUCUCCCUGGCCUGUCUCCCCCUGUCUGGUACAGGUACCUCCACCACACUCACCACUCUCUCCCUGGUCUGUCUCCCCCUGUCUGGUACAGGUACCUCCACCACACUCACCACUCUCUCCCUGGCCUGUCUCCCCCUGUCUGGUACAGGUACCUCCACCACACUCACCACUCUCUCCCUGGCCUGUCUCCCUCUGUCUGGUACAGGUACCCCCACCACACUCACCCCUCUCUCCCUGGCCUGUCUCCCUCUGUCUGGUACAGGUACCCCCACCACACUCACCCCUCUCUCCCUGGCCUGUCACCCUCUGUCUGGUACAGGUACCUCCACCACACUCACCCCUCUCUCCCUGGCCUGUCUCCCUCUGUCUGGUACAGGUACCUCCACCACACUCACCACUCUCUCCCUGGUUGUCUCCCCCUGA
Long non-coding RNA from Oncorhynchus mykiss (rainbow trout), 2112 nucleotides. The record is from Ensembl. NCBI's taxonomy places the organism in Eukaryota, Metazoa, Chordata, Actinopteri, Salmoniformes, Salmonidae.